AACGAACGCUGGCGGCGUGGCUAAGACAUGCAAGUCGCACGGAUCGUGUAGCAAUAUACGGUUAGUGCGAAAGGGAGAGUAAUGCAUAGGUAACGUACCUUGGACACAGGGAUAACAGCGGGUCCGGCAAGGAUCCUUUGCGAAAGUGCUGCUAAUACCUGAUGAAGUCGUUGAGCCGCAUGGUUCGACGAUCAAAGGGCGGGCAACCUGCCGGUCUGGGAGCGGCCUAUGUCCUAUCACCUAGUUGGUGAGGUAACGGCUCACCAAGGGAUCGACGGGUAGCGGGUGUGAGA
RNAcentral lists this ribosomal RNA (293 nucleotides) under uncultured bacterium. RNAcentral describes it as "partial 16S ribosomal RNA". It matches the Rfam family "Bacterial small subunit ribosomal RNA", at positions 29 to 297 of the family's 1533-position model. The record is from RNAcentral.